AGGACGAACGCUGGCGGCGCGCUUAACACAUGCAAGUCGAGCGAGAACCGAAGCCUUCGGGCAUCGGGGAAAGCGGCGAACGGGUGAGUAACACGUGGGCAACCCACCCUUGGUACCGGGAUAGCCCGGGGAAACCCGGAUUAAUACCGGAUGGCCCAGCAGCCUUUCGGGGCGGCUGGAAAAGGGAGCUUCGGGCCUCCGACCAAGGACGGGCCCGCGGCGGAUUAGCUUGUUGGUGGGGUAACGGCCUACCAAGGCGACGAUCCGUAGCUGGUCUGAGAGGACGAUCAGCCACAUUGGGACUGAGACACGGCCCAAACUCCUACGGGAGGCAGCAGUGGGGAAUAUUGGACAAUGGGCGAAAGCCUGAUCCAGCAAUGCCGCGUGGAUGAAGAGGUUUUCGGAUUGUAAAGUCCUUUCGGCGGGACGAUGAUGACGGUACCGCAGAAGAACGCCCCGGCUAACUUCGUGCCAGCAGCCGC
RNAcentral lists this ribosomal RNA (482 nucleotides) under uncultured bacterium. Its description in RNAcentral is "SSU rRNA". It matches the Rfam family "Bacterial small subunit ribosomal RNA", at positions 26 to 518 of the family's 1533-position model. The record is from RNAcentral.